RNAcentral lists this ribosomal RNA (452 nucleotides) under uncultured bacterium. RNAcentral's name for it is "bacterial SSU rRNA". It matches the Rfam family "Bacterial small subunit ribosomal RNA", at positions 29 to 477 of the family's 1533-position model. The record is from RNAcentral.
AUUGAACGCUGGCGGAAUGCUUUACACAUGCAAGUCGAGCGGCAGCGCGGGGCAACCUGGCGGCGAGCGGCGAACGGGUGAGUAAUACAUCGGAACGUACCCAGUUGUGGGGGAUAGCCCGGCGAAAGCCGGAUUAAUACCGCAUACGACCUGAGGGUGAAAGGGGGGGAUCGCAAGACCUCUCGCAGUUGGAGCGGCCGAUGGCGGAUUAGCUAGUUGGUAGGGUAAAGGCCUACCAAGGCGACGAUCCGUAGCUGGUCUGAGAGGACGACCAGCCACACUGGAACUGAGACACGGUCCAGACUCCUACGGGAGGCAGCAGUGGGGAAUUUUGGACAAUGGGGGCAACCCUGAUCCAGCCAUUCCGCGUGAGUGAAGAAGGCCUCGGUUGUAAGCUCUUUCGGUCAGGAACGAAACGGUAGGUCCCGUAAUACGGAUUGCUAAUGACGGUA